Molecule: long non-coding RNA, 3187 nt
Organism: Cygnus olor (mute swan)
Lineage: Eukaryota; Metazoa; Chordata; Aves; Anseriformes; Anatidae
Exons: 3
Source: RefSeq, a predicted model, not a curated record
AGGCCUGGGUGUAGUAUAAAUGAGCACAGGAGGGCUAGGCUCCAGAAAGAGCUCCGAGUUGAGAACUGUUCCAUGAAGCAAAGGAGCUUAAGAAAAACACGCCAUCUUCUGAAAGCAUUUGGUUCAGCUUAGGCUCAUCUGCAAAGCAUUUUUUGACUCACUAGAGUUAUGAGAAAGUGUGAGGGAAAGGGGCUGUGUGAUCCUGGGAUCAAAAGUUCAGGGCAUCAUGAAGGGAUGAAUAUGAAUGAAUGCUAGAAGGAGGAUCAGGGAUAGUGAUUGACUGUCUGUGGUGAUAAUGGUAGGGAAAGAGUUAACUGGCAUAUAGGAAUAGUGCAAAAUUGUAGAAAUGGUUGCACUGUGGCAAAAGCUUGUGUGGCCAGCUUCAUCCAAGUGCCACAUAACAGCUGUUACUCUGCAUGUCUGGCUGACUCAUUUCCUCCAGACUGCAUUAAACAGCCCUUGGCCUGUGCUUCCUUUGCUAAGCAGCAAGAGUAUUUAUGUGGCAGCUUUCAGACUCAUCUCCUGCAGCAGGAACAGCCUCUGGGCUGUGUCCCUGUUCUGAGGGAGUGCUUCCCAUCCCAGCAGCAGCUCCUGCACCAGACAAAGAGCCAGCCACGGUCCCAUGGGCUCCCCUAUGCUUAGGAAUCUGCACUGAGGCGAGACGAAAUGAGGGGGAGUGAGAGAGCAGUGUUGUGGAGCUUAUCUGUUCAUCAAUAUGAAAUCACCACAUCCUCACGCACCAGAAUCCUCCACAGACGGGAGAAGAUGGCUAUUGUUUCACCUCCUGCUGCUUCCAGGGAAUUCUACAGCAGUUGCUGGGAUCACUGUAACUGCUGGUGUCUAUGGAAACAAACCCGCACAGUGAAUGCCAACAGGCCUGGCUGUUUCAAUAGAUGCACCCUGCCGGACAGAGGGUAAUUGCUCUCUUUAACUACCCAGUGUGGGGAGCUACAGAUAAGACAGAGCCAAACUCUUCUGGAGGUGCACAGGAGAAGGAGAAGACAAUGCUUACAUAUGCUUGGUUGGAAAUUAUGGUUGCGAGUGAAUUAUUGCACGUGGAAAUUAUGGCUAAAUUUAACAAAAAUGUCCAUGCAGGGAAAGCAGCUGAGCACUGGAGCAGACUGUGAAAUUUCAGUCCCUGUAGAGGAGUUUUGAAACUCAGCUGGACAAGACCCUGAACAGCCUCAUCUGGUGGAGCCCUGCUCUGUGCAAGAGAUUGAACUUGAAGCCUCCCUUCCAACUUGAGUUACUGUAUAACCGUGAUAUUAACAAAGGGAAAACUAAUUGCAGGAAUGUGAAAUAAUGCAGCAAGGGACACUGCAACAGAAAAUGGGUUCCUGUAAGGAUGACACAUUGAUCAGCACAGAUUUCAUUAUUGAGGGAAACGUAAGUUCUCUGAAAUGACUAGAAUGAACUCUGUGAAGACUUAGGGCUCCUGAAACUGUGCAGUAUGUACCAGGUGGGAUUCUCUGAGGUUCUUUGGAAUCAAUUGCUAGAAUUUGGACUGAGGCAUCUCUCCUGCAUUUGGAGACAUCUUAAAUACCUUGGAAUAUGUUUGGGAAUCAUUACUCAUGCAACAACUUGACUGAAGCAACUAUGUUUUGAAAAACCAUCAGUCUUCCCAAUCAUACUGGCUUUUGAGUAACCUUUUCCAGGAAAAAUAUUUCAUGUGAAAGCACCUGUCCCAUUAUUUACUACUUUAAGACAGUUAUCUUAGGUUGACUGAUUUUUUUUUCAUUUUUUUCCCUUCUUUUUCUCAAACAUGUCAUUCUCCUGAAGAAUGUGUCUGUGGAAAAUUUGAGCUUGCAAACAUAAUAUCUCCUUCUCUACCAUUUGUUUUCUUCCUUAAAGUAACACAAAAGCCAAUGUCAUCUUGUCUGAGGGACAAAACCUUCUGGACUCAUAUUGUAAGCCAAGCCCUUUGGAAAAAUUUGGUAUUUGGGCAUCAGUUCUGUCCUCUGUGUCAAAAAGUCACAUACAUGGAUGUUUCUGUGUCUCUGAAAGAUUUGGGCCUUUACAGAUUUAUUUUUUUUCCCAGAAAGUCUUUAUUUUAGUUGCUUUCUUAUUCAUUAUGAUAGUUAGGAUAUAGAUUCAGAAGGACAGUGUAGGCAUCUUAAAUUUCCUAGGCCCUAGUCUGCUGAAGCCUAGGUUACAGCCAGGCUAAUGUCCUCAUAAAGACUACCUUACAGUAUAGAAGUAAAUUUUACUUCACAGCCUGCUGACUUUUGUUCUCUAAGAUGAAUUGUGAGCACCCACAACUAAAAGUGGCCUUCAGGAUGAGUCCAGAGCAAAAUUUGACCUCUGUCUACAGUGUGUGGCUCUCAGAGUUGUCUUUUAGGAUCAUUCUGAAAUGCUUUAAGUAAUGGCCAAAAUCUGAUCGAAGUUGAGAAAGUUUUAUGACUAGCUUUAAGAGGCUGAGUAAUGGUAGGAAAUCAUUUUGAGGAUCCCACUCACUUGUAUUUUGGGACCAACUAUUACCGGUGGAUCGAAGCAGAAAGCAAUUAGGGAUAUUUUGAAAAGCUGAGAAUAAAUUCUUUCUUCAACCUUGUUCAUGUGCCUGCUGAUCUACUCAGUCACAGACAAAAUCUAUACAGAUGUCCAUCGAAAGCAGACUUUUAAAUAAAUUCAUUUGGAUUGGUAACCGUCCCAACAUGUGGGUAAUUAAUGAUUAUUUCAUCAUCCAGUUGGAGAAACAGAAUAUGAACUGUGUUACUGUGGUAGCUAAUCACACUGUUAGACUACACAUUUGAGAACAUACAUUGGGAAAAACACUCUUUACUUGUCAUUUGUGGCCCAAACAAUCCUCUUUUUUCCUGUUUAAAAAAAGGAAAGCCCUUAAUUUUAACAUAAAUAUGCCAACUUAAAAGCCAACAUUACCCUUCUAAAGUCUACCCCACAUCACAUCUGGUAGGACUGAACAUAAUUAAUUGCAAGAGGAAUGUAAAGCAAUGGCAUGCCAAAAGCUUUAAUGUAAUUCCGAAUCAUGACUUAUGCCAAUCUCUCAUUCUCUGCCAGUAUGAACUGGCAUAUCCUGUGGAUGGCAUUUGAUGUACUUUGGCACUUAGAAGAAACUGUCAGUACAUUUUGGAGAUAAAAAUGGGAAAACAGUUGCACAGCUCCUAAUGGAAUUUACCAAUUCCAGGAUAGCACUUGCUAAGGGUUGUUUGACAACAAAAAUCAGUGUGCA